Epinephelus fuscoguttatus (brown-marbled grouper) is the source of this 3485-nucleotide long non-coding RNA. RefSeq lists it as uncharacterized. Lineage: Eukaryota; Metazoa; Chordata; Actinopteri; Perciformes; Serranidae. The transcript has 2 exons. The record is from RefSeq and is a predicted model, not a curated record.
ACCAUAUUAAACUCAUUGUUCCGAAGUCCGUUCCGUAAUCAUCAUGAUGCCCUGUGGUUAAGGUCUGGUUAGGUUUAGGCACAAAAACCACUUGGUUAGGGUCAGGAAAAGAUCAUGGUGUGGGUUAAAAUGAAAAAGAAAGUGACAAACACAUAAGCCGUGAGCCUGCUCCGCCUCAAGCCGGUCGCAGUGCACCAUACGCCCGCCGCGAGCCGUUCAGCACCGCAGGCAGUCGGACUAAUGGGAUGUCGAACCAAUGACAUGGACCCUUAUUUAUACAAUUAACUGUAUGACAGAUAACCUCAAACAUCAAGUUUAACAUGACUCAAAGAGUUGUGAUUGUCAAAAUAGUCUUUCUAUUCAAAGGCCAAUAUCUGCCCCAUAUAAAGUCCAGUCAGCCCAGUUGCCAGAAGAAAAUGUUGGCAUUGUGUGUUUCUUCAAACAAUGAAUACGUUACAUUUCCACAUUUCAUACGUGUCAUAUCGUUUCUAAAGUGAGUUAAUAUACUAGCCAACUGUCACGUGGAGGAGGAAGAGAUGGUGGAUGGGCAUCACCUAGACGAGAUACCUGUCAGGCUGUGGACCACUGUUCAAGACUGACAAAAAACAAAACUGGCUAUUUUUUAGCCAGUCAUUGCUGUAUUUCCAGCUGCAUUUUGGGCACCAACUGUGGGUGUUUUUUAGGAACCUGUCUUUGUUUCCUGUGGCUUUUCAGCCCUGAAACACUGGGCUGUUUUGCAACCCAUUGCUAUGUUUCCUGCGGCUUUUCAGCCCCCACAUGUGGGUGUUUUUUGGAGACCAAUCCAUGUGUUUCCUGAGGCUUUUUAGCCCUGAAAUGUGGUUGUUUUUUGGAGAUCUGUAGCUGCGUUUUAAGCGGCUUUUCAGCCCUAAAAUGUGGAUGUUUUGUAGAGACCAUUGAUGUGUUUCCAGCAGCUUUCCAGUCCCCAGACGAGGGUGUUUGGUAGGGAGCUGUUGCCAUGUUUCCUGAAGCUUUUCAGCCCUCAAACAUGCCUGUUCUGAAAGGACCUGUCUGUGUUUUCUGAGGCUUUUCAACCUUAAAAUAUAGGUGUUUUGUAGAGACCUUUUGUUGUGUUUCCAGCAGCGUUUCAGCCCCCAAAUGUGGUUUUCUUUUUAAGGGACCCAUUGCUGUGUUUCAGGCACCUUUGAGUCCCCAAACAAGGGUGUUUGGUAGGGACUGUUUCCUUAAGCUUUUCAACCCUCAAACAUGACUGUUUUGAAGGGACCUGUCGACAUGUCUCCUGCAGCUUUUCAGCUACAAAGUUUGGGAAUUUUUGGAGACCAGUCCAUGUGUUUCCUGAGGGUUUUUAAAGCUCUAAAAAUAUGGGUGGUUUGUAGGGACUUAUUGCUGUGUUUCCUGCUGCUUUUCAGCCACCAAAACUGGGUGAUUUUAAGGACUUGUCACUGUGUUUCAUACAGCAUCCCCAAACAUGGGAGUUUUGGCAACCUGACCCAUUUUUUUCCAGUGGGGAUAGUGCCACGAACAGCAGUUGUUUUUUUACAGAGGCAUCGCUGCGUUUCCAGUGGGGAUUGUGUCCCCAAGACCGGAUAUUUUAAGCCCAAACAUGAUCUUUUCCUGUACAUAACCAAGUGGUUUUUGUUUCUAAACUUUACCACAAGUUUACCACAGCGCUAUUGAAACAUAAAGUUUCAACAUAUCCGCUACAUAAUAAUGUGCAAGUGUAACGUAAAUCUGUGGUUUGCAGAAACGUGCAAUGCCAACAUUUUUUUCUAACAGUUUCUAACGGUUUAUCCAGUUUAUCGGUGUCAGAGCUCCAGUUUAAAGCUGAAGUCUCGAGGGUCAGUUGGUCACUCCAUGCAGUGCAAAGUGGAACAUAUGUUUUAGGCAAGACAGAAGAACAUCUAAACUAUUAGGACUAGUCUAGAUGUAAUUCAGUGUUGGUUGUAAUAUCCUACAUUUCCACCCCAUCUCUUGGGUGCUUAUCAGUAAAAGCCUCAUUGCUCUAUGUCUGAUAAUGUUUUAAUGCUUUGUAUGACAAAGUGCUAUCUUUGUGCUGUGAUUUUAAAGUCAUUAAUAUUUUCAAUCAGUGUGUGACUGGGGUUGGGUGUGUGUGCUUGCUUGCUUGCUUGCAUGGUUUUGGGUAUCGAUGUGGGUGUGUUUGUUACUGCACUUUAACCUUGCUUUUCUACACCUGUCUUUUGAACUCUUGGUUUAUUUUUACAUUGUGCUACUGAGCUUUGGGACAACAACACUCCUAAAUGAAGGCAGCUGUAAAAAGAAAUCCCACAUGCAUACAUUCCCACCUGCAUGUACUGACAAGUAUUGUGUAACCACACGUUCCUCAUACUAAUGCAUGUACAGUAAGAAUUAGUCACUGCUCUGCACCACAGCCAGUGGCGCUCGAUGAAAUACACUGUUCUGCUCGGUGUGACUUUUUUGAAUGUUGUCAUAAAAAAAUCCACUUCAUUCCAGAGGAGUUAACAUGUCUGUGUGGGCUCUAGGGAGGAUCUUUUUUUCUUCCAUAUUCCUGUUUAUCUGUUACUGUAAAUGAGAGAUGUUUAUGUUAUUUACUUUCCUUACUAUAGAAAAAGUAUCAAAACCUAAAUCUUGGAAUAGCAAAUGAUUGUCUGUGAGGUGAAAGCUAAGAGUUACAAUGUUACUCAUAUAGAUGCAGAAUGUUUUCUUUUUUACGUAUUUUAAAGUUUGCACACAGGAGAGUCAUCAACUGAUACUAAAAGCAGGCAUUUAGAGCAUAUUUUAAUAUAAAAAUAGACUUAUAUAAAACUCUGAGACCUCAUGGCCUGACGUCUUAACGAUGCUAUUCUUAAUCUAAAUUAGAUCUCUACAGAACCUUCACAACGAUUGGUUCUUGAUAAACAGUAACCACAUGUAAUCAUUUGGUCCUGAGUGUGAAUCCUUCAAUAUGUUCCCAUAAUGAUCUGAACUAUUAAACAGAUACAAAGGCAGGAAAAGCUUCAUGCCUCUUUUACGGUCUUUGAGCUUUGCUGGUGUAAGAUGGAAGAUGGUCCUGAUAUUUUGUACAAAGUUUAUAUUGUUUCAUUGAAAAGGAGCUAUUCAGAAUAUUUUGUUUACUAUAGAGUGACCUGGGAACGAUGGUUAUCACUAUUACUGGCAGCUUUAGUUGAGAGCGCUCAAGUAUGCCAUCAAUAGAGGAAAUCAUUUUAAUGGGUGAGUGCAAGUUACCACACGUCAGAGAUAAUUAUUUUCUGAUAUAGUGCCUUUUGAAGCAAAUGAUUUUCUAAGAAUUCUGAUUAUAGUAAGCGUUACGACUUGGAUUGUUCAUCUUUUACGGUCUUAUUUGACUUCUUUUACUACUUUGUCUUCAACGAUACUUAUUAUUAGCACUGGAUGUGUUCUCUGUUGACUAAUUGCCAUGCAUUUGAUCAUAGAAAAUGCACUAUUUGCAACAUAUCAGCAAAUUAUUAAUAUGUAAAGUGUCACCCAUGUCAAUGAUAUCAGUAGAUCAUUAAAACAAUAUAAACAAA